GACGAACGCUGGCGGCGUGCUUAACACAUGCAAGUCGAACGGAAAGGCCCUGCUUUUGUUUGGUUCUCGAUUGGCGAACGGGUGAGUAACACGUGAGUAACCUGCCCUUGUCUUUGUGAUAACUUCAGGAAACUGGGGCUAAUACCGGAUAUGAUCUCCUGCUGCAUGGGGUUGGUUGGAAAGUUUCGGCGGUUGGGGAUCGACUCGCGGCUUAUCAGCUUGUUUGUGGGGUAGUUGCUUACCAAGGCUUUGACGGGUAGCCGGCCUGAGAGGGGGACCGGCCACAUUGGGACUGAGGUACGGAGCAGUAUGCUACGGGAGGCAGCAGUGGGGAAUAUUGCACAAUGGGCGGAAGCGUGAUGCAGAAACGCCGCGUGCGGGAUGACGGCCUUCGGGGUGUAAACAGAUUUCGCAUGUGACGAAGAGUGAGUGACGGUAAUGGGUAAAGAAGCAACGGCUAACUACGUG
This 468-nucleotide ribosomal RNA is filed under the name uncultured bacterium. RNAcentral describes it as "partial 16S ribosomal RNA". It matches the Rfam family "Bacterial small subunit ribosomal RNA", at positions 28 to 507 of the family's 1533-position model. The record is from RNAcentral.